This is a long non-coding RNA of Juglans microcarpa x Juglans regia, 451 nucleotides long. RefSeq lists it as uncharacterized. Lineage: Eukaryota; Viridiplantae; Streptophyta; Magnoliopsida; Fagales; Juglandaceae. The record is from RefSeq and is a predicted model, not a curated record. The transcript has 2 exons.
GGUGAUCAGAAUGGUUGAGAAGAACUUCAUGAAGAGAUUUGUGAGGAAGUAUCAAAAUGAGGUUCCUGAUGCUGUUAGAGCGCACCAAGGGAAGAGAGAAUUUCAAGGGCUCCCCAUAGCCAUGGAAAUGUGACUACUUUGGAUAUAAUCAAAUGUGGCAUUGCCUAAAGAUCAUGAGUUCAGUUUUAGUUCAACAUGUCUGCAGUUGGACGUUUAUCUUCGUAUGUGUGGGUAAAACAUUUUGCGGAGUUGUUUCUGCUACUUUCUAUGGUGACCUGUCUGUGUUGUUCACUUUAGGAGAAGCAAACCCUGGCCUUAUUUGUUAGUGCAUUUCAGAUGUUGAGGCAUUCUGGCAUGUUUAGGUGUGGGAAGACUCUGUGGCCUCAUGUUCACAUAAAAUCUUUAUGUUUCUUUCUCUUUAGAUCUAAUGUAAAUCCACAAAUCCAAGCUU